Molecule: ribosomal RNA, 468 nt
Filed under: uncultured bacterium
Lineage: Bacteria
Description: bacterial SSU rRNA
Rfam family: Bacterial small subunit ribosomal RNA
Source: RNAcentral
CAUCCAGACUCCUACGGGAGGCAGCAGUGAGGAAUAUUGGUCAAUGGACGCAAGUCUGAACCAGCCAUGCCGCGUGCAGGAUGACGGCUCUAUGAGUUGUAAACUGCUUUUGUACGAGGGUAAACCCCGAUACGUGUAUCGGGUUGAAAGUAUCGUACGAAUAAGGAUCGGCUAACUCCGUGCCAGCAGCCGCGGUAAUACGGGGGAUCCGAGCGUUAUCCGGAUUUAUUGGGUUUAAAGGGUGCGUAGGCGGCAUUAUAAGUUAGUGGUAAAAUAUUGGGGCUUCACCUCACUACGCCAUUAAUACUGUAGAGCUAGAGAACAGACGAGGUAGGCGGAAUAAGUUAAGUAGCGGUGAAAUGCAUAGAUAUAACUUAGAACACCGAUAGCGAAGGCAGCUUACCAGACUGAGUCUGACGCUGAUGCACGAGAGCAUGGGUAGCGAACAGGAUUAGAUACCCCCGUAAC